Non-coding RNA from Leptonychotes weddellii (Weddell seal), 1611 nucleotides. The record is from RefSeq and is a predicted model, not a curated record. Lineage: Eukaryota; Metazoa; Chordata; Mammalia; Carnivora; Phocidae.
UCCUCUGUAAGCAGAAUGUGGUCAACUGAUGAUGUUUGAAGUUGAUGAAUUAUUGAAAUAGCAGAUUAAGCACUUUAUCUAGAGGUAAGAGGGUAACUGCCAGAACAGUGCAAACAGGAAUUAUUAAAAUGCUCUACCCUGGGAAGCACAAUAAGGGGUUGAGAAGUGAUGGGGUCUUGAGCCUUUGCUUUUUGUCAUAAGUUCCUUUGCACUUUCUGGUCAUCACUAUUUUAUUUACCAUGUGCAUGACUUCCUUUCAGUGAGAACAAUGCUUUUCUGUUUCUUUUUCUUUUUUAAAGAACGGUUUUUUAAAAGACGGUGUGUAUGUUCGGUAGGAGGUCCUAUGGUUAAGCGCUGUGACUUUAGCAAGACUUUACCAUAUGGAAGGAGAUUUCAUUGUACAUUUAUUAUAUAGAGUGGGAACUUAAAUUGCUCAACAACUCAUAGUAUUGAGAAUCAGCCAUUCACACAUCCAUAGCCCAUGAAUGUGUCAAAGCACCAUUGUGAAUGUUCCAGAGAUAUCAUGGAGACAUCAGAAUGCAUUCAGUAUCCUACAGCAAAGAAGUCGAAGGAGUGUAUCACCUAACAGUAAUUUAUGUCCAAAUUGUCCCCAAAAAGGGUGCUUGAAGGGAUGAAUAGCAGUUGAGGGAAAAUUCACUCGUGACUCAAUAUCCCCAUUUCAUUGAGAUUGUAUUAUCAAAUCUUCUGGGUGGUUUUCUUGAGUACGGAGAAUGGCAUGCUUUCCUGUGUUGACUUGUAAAGUCCUCGGACCUCAGGGAAAAUAAAUAAAUGGAUUAUAAAAAGGUCCUAAGGUUGGGAGAACUAAGGAAAACCUGAAUGAGGGUGUAAGAAAAGUGAGUUCAGGCUGGGGAAUCAGGCAGUUGCCUGGAGUAAGAUCCAGUCAUAGCCUGGGAUGUGACUCAGAGGAUCAGACUCCCUCUGAACUGACACUUUGCUCCUGGUUAGAGAGGAAAAGCCAGGCUUCCUUGGACACCAGAAAGGAAAGACACCGAGUCUUCAAAAACCAGCUGAACAAGGAUAUCCUCAAGACAGAGGGAAAUGGCAUUAAUAAGGAGUCUCUUGUGUUGGGCAUUGAAUGCAUGCCAGGCACUGUGACAAACAUUUCCCAUAUAUUACCACUUUUCAUCCUUAACAACUAUCCCCUUGUACAGAUGAAGACUCCAAAGCUAAAGAAACAAACAAAAAAGACCCAGUCUGCUUCUGAGAGAUCAACAAGGAAAGGGUCAAAGAAAUGCUCACCCUCAGGGAAGGAGUGAGGGGAAAGAGGCAGAGAGGAAAAGAAACAAGAGGGAGAAACCGAGGACUGGCUUGUCUCUUGCCUUUAAUCACACCCCAAAGUGACCUAGGAUCGAGAAAGAGAGAUUCAGGUAGGCAGAAGCCCUCAGGAAGAAUCAAGCUUGGAUCCUGGAGUGGUCAAGAGUAUUCUAAGAAGGCCCACAGUGACCAGGAUAUAGAAAGGAAGAAGGAAGUGGGCCACAUGAAAUGGAAGACCAGUGCUGGCUCCAAACACUCUCGAAAUGUCUCCGGAUCUGAACCUAUCUCCUUUUAAAGCUCCACUGAGAAAUAAACAGAAAGAGAAGCUAAACUCUA